Centrocercus urophasianus (Greater sage-grouse) is the source of this 944-nucleotide long non-coding RNA. RefSeq lists it as uncharacterized. The transcript has 3 exons. Lineage: Eukaryota; Metazoa; Chordata; Aves; Galliformes; Phasianidae. The record is from RefSeq and is a predicted model, not a curated record.
UCUUGUCUGUGGGGUUCAGAUUACAUUUUCUAAGGAACUACCUUGGGAAGAAAACUGCCCUCUUCCCUCGCUUCUGCUUCAAAACCUGCAAAAAGUAUUCUAUUGUUUAUGACAGACAGCUUCUGAAUCUGGGGAGAUUUUAAAGGAUGUAGACAGUAUCUUGUGUAUGACAAGCCAUCAGUGUUGUGCCCCAUGUCCUCUUCCUGGCACGCCUCUUAGACCUGAACUGUCGCUGGGAUCCUGGGAAAUGGCCAGCAUGUUGCUCUCAGUGUGACUUCCGAGGAUUUUCAGGCCCCCUUAUCUUUGGUAAAUGUGCUAAGCCAAACAAGUGUCUUGCUGGCUCCAUCUGCUGGACCCUGAUGAUGUGAACGAUACUGUGAAGCUUGGCUGGACUCACACGGAACAAACACGUCUGAAACUGAAGCACUCCAUGCGUGUCAUGGAAACCGUGAGAAAAGAGAUGGGAACAUCCGUCCUCAGAAUGCAUAAGUGUGAAGACUAAUGAUUUGGAGUUGCAUUCAUUACAGCUUUUCUAGUUGUUUUGGGAUGCCGAGAACAACCCAAACCAAUCAAAUUUACAAGAGGACACAUCCAUAUAAUGUUGGCUUUUACUUUGUCAUGUGCUGGUGUAUAGGAAAUGAGACCUUGAAGAUAGUUUAUCUCAGUCUGAUUAAUACACAGUUAAUGAAUUAUGCAUAAAACUCUAAAUGUUUUCCCAGAUAUAGAAACAAAAGGGUUGCUUCUGAAGUAGCAGACCAUGGAGGAUAAUUUCAGACUUUUAGAACAUGUGUUAUUCAUGCAUUCCAGCCAACAACUCAAUGGCUGAUGACCGAGCAACACCUGCUGGACUUUGAGGACUUUCAACUGUCUUAUUACACUUACUAAAGUUCCACUGUCCCCUAAAUUCAUCUCCUUUUCACAGAAAAGGUAAAAAUAAAUUUACA